This 371-nucleotide ribosomal RNA is filed under the name uncultured bacterium. Its description in RNAcentral is "bacterial SSU rRNA". It matches the Rfam family "Bacterial small subunit ribosomal RNA", at positions 527 to 896 of the family's 1533-position model. The record is from RNAcentral.
GAAGGGUGCAAGCGUUACUCGGAAUUACUGGGCGUAAAGCGUGCGUAGGUGGUGCGUUAAGUCUGUCGUGAAAGCCCCGGGCUCAACCUGGGAAUGGCGAUGGAUACUGGCGCGCUAGAGUGCGGUAGAGGAGAGUGGAAUUCCCGGUGUAGCAGUGAAAUGCGUAGAGAUCGGGAGGAACAUCAGUUGCGAAGGCGGCUCUCUGGACCAGCACUGACACUGAGGCACGAAAGCGUGGGGAGCAAACAGGAUUAGAUACCCUGGUAGUCCACGCCCUAAACGAUGCGAACUGGACGUUGGGAGCAAUCAGGCUCUCAGUGUCGAAGCUAACGCGUUAAGUUCGCCGCCUGGGGAGUACGGUCGCAAGACKG